AUUGAACGCUGGCGGCAUGCUUUACACAUGCAAGUCGAACGGCAGCGCGGGCUUCGGCCUGGCGGCGAGUGGCGAACGGGUGAGUAAUGCAUCGGAACGUGCCCAGUAGUGGGGGAUAGCCCGGCGAAAGCCGGAUUAAUACCGCAUACGACCUGAGGGUGAAAGCGGGGGACCGAAAGGCCUCGCGCUAUUGGAGCGGCCGAUGUCGGAUUAGCUAGUUGGUGGGGUAAAGGCUUACCAAGGCGACGAUCCGUAGCUGGUCUGAGAGGACGACCGGCCACACUGGGACUGGGACACGGCCCAGACUCCUACGAGAGGCAGCAGUGGGGAAUUUUGGACAAUGGGGGCAACCCUGAUCCAGCCAUGCCGCGUGCGAGAAGAAGGCCUUCGGGUUGUAAACCGCUUUUGUUCGGGAAGAAAUCCUCUGGGCUAAUACCCCGGGGGGAUGACGGUACCGGAAGAAUAAGCACCGGCUAACUACGUG
Molecule: ribosomal RNA, 484 nt
Filed under: uncultured bacterium
Lineage: Bacteria
Description: partial 16S ribosomal RNA
Rfam family: Bacterial small subunit ribosomal RNA
Source: RNAcentral